CCUACGGGAGGCUGCAGUGAGGAAUAUUGGUCAAUGGGCGAGAGCCUGAACCAGCCAAGUCGCGUGAAGGAUGACGGCCCUACGGGUUGUAAACUUCUUUUGUCAGGGAGCAAUUGAGUCCACGUGUGGGCUUAGCGAGAGUACCUGAAGAAAAAGCAUCGGCUAACUCCGUGCCAGCAGCCGCGGUAAUACGGAGGAUGCGAGCGUUAUCCGGAUUUAUUGGGUUGAAAGGGUGCGUAGGCGGAAUAUCAAGUCAGCGGUAAAAUUUCGGGGCUCAACCCCGUCGUGCCGUUGAAACUGAUGUUCUUGAGUGGGCGAGAAGUAUGCGGAAUGCGUGGUGUAGCGGUGAAAUGCAUAGAUAUCACGCAGAACUCCGAUUGCGAAGGCAGCAUACCGGCGCCCAACUGACGCUGAAGCACGAAAGCGUGGGUAUCGAACAGGAUUAGAUACCCUAGUAGUC
RNAcentral lists this ribosomal RNA (460 nucleotides) under uncultured bacterium. RNAcentral's name for it is "partial 16S ribosomal RNA". It matches the Rfam family "Bacterial small subunit ribosomal RNA", at positions 338 to 795 of the family's 1533-position model. The record is from RNAcentral.